UACGGAGGAUGCAAGCGUUAUCCGGAUUUAUUGGGUUUAAAGGGUGCGCAGGCGGGCUUGUAAGUCAGUGGUGAAAUCUUACGGCUUAACCGUAAAACUGCCAUUGAUACUGCAAGUCUAGAGUACAUUUGACGUGGGCGGAAUGUAGCAUGUAGCGGUGAAAUGCUUAGAUAUGCUACAGAACACCGAUUGCGAAGGCAGCUCACGAAACUGAUACUGACGCUGAGGCACGAAAGCGUGGGGAGCGAACAGG
RNAcentral lists this ribosomal RNA (253 nucleotides) under uncultured bacterium. RNAcentral's name for it is "partial 16S ribosomal RNA". It matches the Rfam family "Bacterial small subunit ribosomal RNA", at positions 524 to 776 of the family's 1533-position model. The record is from RNAcentral.